Molecule: unclassified non-coding RNA, 200 nt
Filed under: soil metagenome
Description: partial contains internal transcribed spacer 2 and large subunit ribosomal RNA
Source: RNAcentral
AGCGUCAUCUAAACCUUCAAGCACCGCUUGAUGUUGGGCGUUUGUCCCGCCUCGGGCGUGGACUCGCCUUAAAAGCAUUGGCGGCCUGUGUAACGGCUUCGAGCGCAGCAGAUGCGCGCCUCGUCUCCUCGCACCGGCGUCCAGCAAGCCUAACUUCUCAGUUUGACCUCGGAUCAGGUAGGGAUACCCGCUGAACUUAA